UGAGGAAUAUUGGUCAAUGGGGGCAACCCUGAACCAGCCAAGUCGCGUGAAGGAUGAAGGUCUUAUGGAUUGUAAACUUCUUUUACACGGGAAUAAAGCGGGGGACGUGUCCCUCUUUGCAUGUACCGUGUGAAUAAGGAUCGGCUAACUCCGUGCCAGCAGCCGCGGUAAUACGGAGGAUCCGAGCGUUAUCCGGAUUUAUUGGGUUUAAAGGGUGCGCAGGCGGGAUGUUAAGUCGGCGGUGAAAUUUUGCAGCUCAACUGUAAAAGUGCCUUCGAUACUGGCCUUCUUGAGUGUGAAUGAAGUAGGCGGAAUUUGUGGUGUAGCGGUGAAAUGCUUAGAUAUCACGAGGAACUCCGAUUGCGCAGGCAGCUUACUAGGCCACAACUGACGCUCAUGCACGAAGGCGUGGGGAUCAAACA
Molecule: ribosomal RNA, 422 nt
Filed under: uncultured bacterium
Lineage: Bacteria
Description: bacterial SSU rRNA
Rfam family: Bacterial small subunit ribosomal RNA
Source: RNAcentral